Transfer RNA from Cylindrobasidium torrendii FP15055 ss-10, 72 nucleotides. It matches the Rfam family "tRNA". From Rfam's summary of the family: Transfer RNA (tRNA) molecules are approximately 80 nucleotides in length. Their secondary structure includes four short double-helical elements and three loops (D, anti-codon, and T loops). Further hydrogen bonds mediate the characteristic L-shaped molecular structure. tRNAs have two regions of fundamental functional importance: the anti-codon, which is responsible for specific mRNA codon recognition, and the 3' end, to which the tRNAs corresponding amino acid is attached (by aminoacyl-tRNA synthetases). tRNAs cope with the degeneracy of the genetic code in two manners: having more than one tRNA (with a specific anti-codon) for a particular amino acid; and 'wobble' base-pairing, i.e. permitting non-standard base-pairing at the 3rd anti-codon position. Lineage: Eukaryota; Fungi; Basidiomycota; Agaricomycetes; Agaricales; Physalacriaceae. The record is from Rfam.
UCCGAUAUGGUGUAGUGGCUAACAUUAUCGCCUCUCACGCGAUAGCCCGGGGUUUAAUUCCCCGUGUCGGAA